AGUGAACGCUGGCGGUAGGCCUAACACAUGCAAGUCGAACGGCAGCACAGUAAGAGCUUGCUCUUACGGGUGGCGAGUGGCGGACGGGUGAGGAAUACAUCGGAAUCUACUUUUUCGUGGGGGAUAACGUAGGGAAACUUACGCUAAUACCGCAUACGACCUACGGGUGAAAGCAGGGGAUCUCCGGACCUUGCGCGAUUGAAUGAGCCGAUGUCGGAUUAGCUAGUUGGCGGGGUAAAGGCCCACCAAGGCGACGAUCCGUAGCUUGUCUGAGAGGAUGAUCAGCCACACUGGAACUGAGACACGGUCCAGACUCCUACGGGAGGCAGCAGUGGGGAAUAUUGGACAAUGGGCGCAAGCCUGAUCCAGCCAUACCGCGUGGGUGAAGAAGGCCUUCGGGUUGUAAAGCCCUUUUGUUGGGAAAGAAAAGCAGCAGGUUAAUACCCCGCUGUUCUGACGGUACCCAAAGAAUAAGCACCGGCUAACUUCGUG
Molecule: ribosomal RNA, 492 nt
Filed under: uncultured bacterium
Lineage: Bacteria
Description: partial 16S ribosomal RNA
Rfam family: Bacterial small subunit ribosomal RNA
Source: RNAcentral